RNAcentral lists this ribosomal RNA (1181 nucleotides) under Krisna furcata. Its description in RNAcentral is "16S ribosomal RNA". Lineage: Eukaryota; Metazoa; Arthropoda; Insecta; Hemiptera; Cicadellidae. The record is from RNAcentral.
UUACUUUUAAUUAUUUGUUUUUUUUUAGUAUUUUAGUAUUUAAUGAAAUUAUUUUAUUUUUUUUUACUGACUAGGAUUAUUUUAUAUAUAUUUAAAUAAUUUUUAGUACCUUUUGUAUCAGGGUUAAUUUAAUGAUAAACUUAUAAUUAUUUUCCCGAAUUUAAAAAAUUUAGUUUAUUAUUAUUUUGAAUGUUUCAUAAUUUUAUUAAAUAUUAAAUUGAUAGUUAUAAGUUAUUUGUUUUUUUAUAUAUCUGGUUAGUUUGGAUUUAAAUUUAAUUUAUGAAUUAAUUAUUAUUUUUAUUUUUAUUUUUAGUUCUUAUUUUAUUUGGGAAAAUCUAAAUAUUUUUUUAAAAUUUUUAAAAUUAAUUUAUUUUAUUAUUUUUAAUAUCAUUUAUUAAGUUCUUUAUAGAUUUAAUUUUUUGUUUAUUAUUUUUUUUUAUUUAAUAUUUUACUAAUUUUUAUUAUUUAAUUUUUUUUAUUAUUAAUAAUGAUUAAAUUAGUAUGAUUUAUAAUUUUUAAUUUAUGAAUUCGACAAAUAUUUAUUUUUAACUGUUUAUCAAAAACAUUUCUUUUAGUUAUUAUUAAAGGUAAAUUCUGCCCUAUGAUUAUUAUUUAAAUGGCUGCGGUAUUUUGACUGUGCAAAGGUAGCAUAAUAAUUUGUUACUUAAUUAGUAACUUGAAUGAAUGAAUAAAUAAAAGAUUAUUUUUAUUAUUAAUAUUUUUAAAAUUUUAUUUUUUAGUAAAAAAGCUAAAUUUUUUUCUUGGGACGAGAAGACCCUAAAGAACUUUAAUUUUUUAUUUAUAAAUUAGUUUUUUAUAGAUUUACAUAUAUACUAAUUUAUUUAUUAAUAAUUUUUGUUGGGGUGAUAAUUAAAUUUAUUCUUUAAUUAGUUUAUUCAUUAAUUUUUGUUUAUAUUGAUCCUAAAUUUUUGAUUAAAAGUUAAGUUACCUUAGGGAUAACAGCGUAAUUUUUAUGGAGAGUUCAUAUCUAUAUAAUAGUUUGCGACCUCGAUGUUGAAUUAGGAUAAAUUUAUUAGGUAGUUUUUUUAAAAUUAAGUCUGUUCGACUUUUAAAUUCCUACAUGAUUUGAGUUCAGACCGGUGUAAGCCAGGUUGGUUUCUAUCUGAGAUUAUUUAUUUUCUUUUAGUACGAAAGGACCAUUGAAAUCAAUUUUUAUUGUU